Molecule: ribosomal RNA, 497 nt
Filed under: uncultured bacterium
Lineage: Bacteria
Description: partial 16S ribosomal RNA
Rfam family: Bacterial small subunit ribosomal RNA
Source: RNAcentral
GAUGAACGCUGGCGGCGUGCCUAAUACAUGCAAGUCGAGCGAACGGACGAGAAGCUUGCUUCUCUGAUGUUAGCGGCGGACGGGUGAGUAACACGUGGAUAACCUCCCUAUAAGACUGGGAUAACUUCGGGAAACCGGAUCUUAUACCGGAUGAUAUUUUGAACCGCAUGGUUCAAAAGUGAAAGACGGUCUUGCUGUCACUUAUAGAUGGAUCCGCGCUGCAUUAGCUAGUUGGUAAGGUAACGGCUUACCAAGGCAACGAUGCAUAGCCGACCUGAGAGGGUGAUCGGCCACACGGGAACUGAGACACGGUCCAGACUCCUACGGGAGGCAGCAGUAGGGAAUCUUCCGCAAUGGGAGAAAGCCUGACGGAGCAACGCCGCGUGAGUGAUGAAGGUCUUCGGAUCGUAAAACUCUGUUAUUAGGGAAGAACAUAUGUGUAAGUAACUGUGCACAUCUUGACGGUACCUAAUCAGAAAGCCACGGCUAACUACGUG